UACGGAGGGGGCUAGCGUUGUUCGGAAUUACUGGGCGUAAAGCGAGUGUAGGUGGUUGUCGUAGUCAGGCGUGAAAGCCUUGAGCUCAACUCAAGAAAUGCGCUUGAUACUGGGCAGCUAGAGGACCGGAGAGGAUAGUGGAAUUCCGAGUGUAGAGGUGAAAUUCGUAGAUAUUCGGAAGAACACCAGUGGCGAAGGCGACUCACUGGACAUGUAUUGACGCUGAGGUGCGAAAGCGUGGGGAGCAAACAGG
This 253-nucleotide ribosomal RNA is filed under the name uncultured bacterium. RNAcentral describes it as "partial 16S ribosomal RNA". It matches the Rfam family "Bacterial small subunit ribosomal RNA", at positions 524 to 776 of the family's 1533-position model. The record is from RNAcentral.